GCGGAGCUGAAUUGAGGUGCGGUUUGAAUUUCGCGGUCGAAAUUCUUUUUAAGGGGUGGAGAAUGUAACAUACCAGAUUUUGAUAUAAAAAUAAAAAAUAAAUAAAAAUAGUGUGAGAUACUAUUUUUAUUGGAUUUAGAGAAGUAAAAUAUAAGUCAAAAAUGACUUGUGCUGAAAUCGGAAUGAAAACAGAAGAUUUAGAAUUUUCUAUUGGAAACGGGACAGAUAAAUUAGCAGAAAAUGCACAGUGUCAGAAAAUUAUGAAAACUGGAGGAUAAGUCAGAAUUAUUUUUAUGAGGCUAGAUUUAAAGUUUCAUGUCAUUCUGACACCCGGAAGGUGGGAAAGUAAAAUCCGACGACUAUCUGAUAAAGAUUACAGUUCGGUACAGUUUUCGGUGACCAAACGGGGUCGAAACUGAAAUAUUAAAAUUUCUUUGUACUUAUUAAGUAAAACCGAGCCUGCCUGUCAAAUUUCAGAGCAAACUGACAUUCAGAAAGGCUCCGGCAAAA
Molecule: long non-coding RNA, 510 nt
Filed under: Ananas comosus (pineapple)
Lineage: Eukaryota; Viridiplantae; Streptophyta; Magnoliopsida; Poales; Bromeliaceae
Description: long non-coding RNA (ACOM_LNC032785)
Source: RNAcentral